Molecule: non-coding RNA, 233 nt
Organism: Cinara cedri
Lineage: Eukaryota; Metazoa; Arthropoda; Insecta; Hemiptera; Aphididae
Source: the annotation of a GenBank genome assembly
GGGUUAAUAUUCAUAUACAUUUUUUUUGUAAUUUCGAUUGGAAUGAAGUACUUUAUCUUAGUGCGUAUUUCAUUGAGUGGUUGACCCUGAACUUUGUCAAGUUCGGGAACUACUUUAUUCGGCUGUAAUACACGUUCUAAAUGAUAUGCAUACAUAUCAGCUUUAUCUUGUUCACAGCGUGCCCAUGAUCAAUCCAUGCGGAUUAAGUUUAUUUAAGUAAGAUUUCUACGUUU